This 459-nucleotide ribosomal RNA is filed under the name uncultured bacterium. RNAcentral describes it as "partial 16S ribosomal RNA". It matches the Rfam family "Bacterial small subunit ribosomal RNA", at positions 338 to 795 of the family's 1533-position model. The record is from RNAcentral.
CCUACGGGAGGCAGCAGUGAGGAAUAUUGGUCAAUGGGCGGGAGCCUGAACCAGCCAAGUCGCGUGAGGGACGACGGUCCUAUGGAUUGUAAACCUCUUUUGUCGGGGAACAAAGGCGCCCACGGGUGGGCGGAUGAGUGUACCCGAAGAAAAAGCCUCGGCAAACUCCGUGCCAGCAGCCGCGGUAAUACGGAGGAGGCGAGCGUUAUCCGGAUUUAUUGGGGUAAAGGGGUGCGUAGGCGGACAGUAAAGCCGGCGGUAAAAAUGCGGUGGUAAACGCCGUACAGCCGUUGAAACUGGCAGGCUUGAGUGGGCGAGAAGUAUGCGGAAUGCGUGGUGUAGCGGUGAAAUGCAUAGAUAUCACGCAGAACUCCGAUUGCGAAGGCAGCAUACCGGCGCCCGACUGACGCUGAGGCACGAAAGCGUGGGUAUCGAACAGGAUUAGAUACCCUGGUAGUC